AUUGAACGCUGGCGGCAUGCCUUACACAUGCAAGUCGAACGGCAGCGGGCCCUUCGGGGUGCCGGCGAGUGGCGAACGGGUGAGUAAUGCAUCGGAACGUACCCGGGAGAGGGGGAUAACCGGCCGAAAGGCUGGCUAAUACCGCAUGAUCUCGGAAGAGCAAAGCGGGGGACCUUCGGGCCUCGCGCUCUCGGAGCGGCCGAUGUCCGAUUAGCUAGUUGGUGAGGUAAAGGCUCACCAAGGCGACGAUCGGUAGCGGGUCUGAGAGGACGAUCCGCCACACUGGGACUGAGACACGGCCCAGACUCCUACGGGAGGCAGCAGUGGGGAAUCUUGGACAAUGGGCGCAAGCUGAUCCAGCAAUGCCGCGUGGGUGAAGAAGGCCUUCGGGUUGUAAAGCCCUUUCGGCGGGGAAGAAAUCGGUCAGGCGAAUAGUCUGGCUGGAUGACGGUACCCGCAGAAGAAGCACCGGCUAACUACGUG
RNAcentral lists this ribosomal RNA (483 nucleotides) under uncultured bacterium. Its description in RNAcentral is "bacterial SSU rRNA". It matches the Rfam family "Bacterial small subunit ribosomal RNA", at positions 28 to 507 of the family's 1533-position model. The record is from RNAcentral.